UAUUCUUUAUAGCUUGCUAUGAGAAUAAUUAGUGGCAGACGGGUGAGUAAUGCAUAGGAAUCUACCUAGUAGUAUAGGAUAGCCACUAGAAAUGGUGGGUAAUACUGUAUAAUCCCUGCGGGGGAAAGAUUUAUCGCUACAUGAUGAGCCUAUGUUAGAUUAGCUAGUUGGUGGGGUAAUGGCCUACCAAGGCAGUGAUCUAUAGCUGGUCUGAGAGGAUGAUCAGCCACACUGGAACUGAGACACGGUCCAGACUCCUACGGGAGGCAGCAGUGGGGAAUAUUGGACAAUGGGCGCAAGCCUGAUCCAGCUAUGCCGCGUGAGUGAGGAAGGCCUUAGGGUUGUAAAACUCUUUCAGUAGGGAAGAUAAUG
This 372-nucleotide ribosomal RNA is filed under the name Anaplasma phagocytophilum. RNAcentral's name for it is "bacterial SSU rRNA". It matches the Rfam family "Bacterial small subunit ribosomal RNA", at positions 68 to 453 of the family's 1533-position model. The record is from RNAcentral. Lineage: Bacteria; Pseudomonadati; Pseudomonadota; Alphaproteobacteria; Rickettsiales; Anaplasmataceae.